CGCAUCUGUGCAUGCAGCAUAUCAAUAAGCGGAGGAAAAGAAACUAACAAGGAUUCCCCUCAGUAACGGCGAGUGAAGCGGGAAGAGCUCAAAUUUGAAAUCUUGAAAGGUCACCUUUCACGAAUUGUAGUUUAAAGAAGUGUUUUCUGUUACGAUCGUAAUAUAAGUUCUUUGGAAUAGGACAUCACAGAGGGUGAGAAUCCCGUCUAUGAUUGCGAUUUGUAGCUUUGUGAUACACUUUCAAAGAGUCGGGUUGUUUGGGAAUGCAGUCCAAAAUGGGAUGGUAAAUUUCAUCUAAGGCUAAAUAUUGGUGAGAGACCGAUAGCGAACAAGUACCGUGAGGGAAAGAUGAAAAGAACUUUGAAAAGAGAGUUAAACUAGUACGUGAAAUUGUCAAAAGGGAAGCGUUUAACACCAGUGUUGUUUUCUGAAAAUCAACCUCUGUUAGCUUUAUGCAUGUUUGUUUAGACCUAAUCAGCUAUCUUGCAUGUUCUAUUGUUUGCAGUGGUGCACUUUUCAGUUUACAGGUCAACAUCAGUUUUUUUUACCGUAAAAAAGUUAAAGAAAGGUAGCUCAUGGCUCCGGUCGUGAGUGUUAUAGUCUUUUUCCUAUGCGGUAGGAGAGACUGAGGUCUGCAGUGUAGGCUAUUUGGCUAGAUACUCAGGUGCUAUGUGAUACCAUUUCAUAAACAACUUGUUGAUUAUGUUUUGUCUAUUGCAUACUCGCUUGUACUAUCAUACCUACGCUUAGGAUGUUGACGAUCAGCUGAGCGCG
Molecule: ribosomal RNA, 774 nt
Filed under: uncultured Neocallimastigales
Lineage: Eukaryota; Fungi; Neocallimastigomycota; Neocallimastigomycetes; Neocallimastigales
Description: partial large subunit ribosomal RNA
Rfam family: Eukaryotic large subunit ribosomal RNA
Source: RNAcentral